CCUGGAAACAGAUGCUAAUACCGGAUAACAACAGAUGAUGCCUAUCAACUGUUUAAAAGAUGGUUCUGCUAUCACUCUUGGAUGGACCUGCGGUGCAUUAGCUAGUUGGUAGGGUAACGGCCUACCAAGGCGAUGAUGCAUAGCCGAGUUGAGAGACUGAUCGGCCACAUGGGACUGAGACACGGCCCAAACUCCUAGGGAGGCAGCAGUG
This 211-nucleotide ribosomal RNA is filed under the name uncultured Lactobacillus sp. RNAcentral's name for it is "partial 16S ribosomal RNA". It matches the Rfam family "Bacterial small subunit ribosomal RNA", at positions 149 to 356 of the family's 1533-position model. Lineage: Bacteria; Bacillati; Bacillota; Bacilli; Lactobacillales; Lactobacillaceae. The record is from RNAcentral.